GAUGAACGCUGACAGAAUGCUUAACACAUGCAAGUCAACUUGAACUUCGGUUUGGGUGGCGGACGGGUGAGUAACGCGUACAGAACUUGCCUCACGGCUAGGGACAACAUUUGGAAACGAAUGCUAAUACCUGAUAUUAUGAUUUUAGGGCAUCCUAGAAUUAUGAAAGCUAUAUGCGCUGUGAGAGAGCUUUGCGUCCCAUUAGCUAGUUGGAGAGGUAACGGCUCACCAAGGCGAUGAUGGGUAGCCGGCCUGAGAGGGUGAACGGCCACAAGGGGACUGAGACACGGCCCUUACUCCUACGGGAGGCAGCAGGGGGGAAUAUUGGACAAUGGACCAAGAGUCUGAUCCAGCAAUUCUGUGUGCACGAUGAAGUUUUUCGGAAUGUAAAGUGCUUUCAGUUGGGAAGAAAAAAAUGACGGUACCAACAGAAGAAGUGACGGCUAAAUACGUG
RNAcentral lists this ribosomal RNA (454 nucleotides) under uncultured bacterium. RNAcentral's name for it is "partial 16S ribosomal RNA". It matches the Rfam family "Bacterial small subunit ribosomal RNA", at positions 28 to 507 of the family's 1533-position model. The record is from RNAcentral.